CGGUUAAGUCGCUAACGAGCGCAACCCUCGUCGUAUGUUAUAUGUGUCAUACGAGACUAGCCGGUAAAAAGACCGGAGGAAGGUGAGGAUGAUGUCAAGUCAGCAUGACCUUUAUAUCCAGGGCUACACACACGCUACAAUGGUCUGUACAAUGGGUAGCCAAGCCGCGAGGCGGAGCCAAUCCUGAAAGCAGGCCUCAGUUCAGAUUGCAGUCUGCAACUCGACUGCAUGAAGCCGGAGUUGCUAGUAACCGCAGGUCAGCAAUACUGCGGUGAAUACGUUCCCGGGUCUU
This 292-nucleotide ribosomal RNA is filed under the name uncultured Anaerolineaceae bacterium. Its description in RNAcentral is "partial 16S ribosomal RNA". It matches the Rfam family "Bacterial small subunit ribosomal RNA", at positions 1077 to 1382 of the family's 1533-position model. Lineage: Bacteria; Bacillati; Chloroflexota; Anaerolineae; Anaerolineales; Anaerolineaceae. The record is from RNAcentral.